This 714-nucleotide long non-coding RNA is filed under the name Ananas comosus (pineapple). Its description in RNAcentral is "long non-coding RNA (ACOM_LNC027781)". Lineage: Eukaryota; Viridiplantae; Streptophyta; Magnoliopsida; Poales; Bromeliaceae. The record is from RNAcentral.
AGGUAAAAUAAACAAAGGGUGCGUUUGGUUCGAGUUAUCCUGACAGGAUUACAGGCAAUCCUGCCAGGAUAACUGUGUUUGGUUAAUCCGCUAUGUAAUCUGGUCGUUAAUGUAGCAUUACAAAUCGAGCAGGAUUACAUCAAAAAUAUUAACGGGAGGGGGGUCGUGUAUCUUGCAUUACUGAAACCCGUUAAUACUACAUAUUAUGUAAAAUGACAAUUAUACCCUCCAACAACCCCAAAUCUAAUUAACAGUAUUAUUUUCAUCUCUCUCUCGCCUUCGUCCCGGCCCUCUCUCUCGCACGCCGCUUUCUCUCGCUCUCUCUCGACGUCUCUCUCUCUUUCUCUCUCUCGCGCACGAACACCUAUCAUCUUCUAUUGCGUCAUCCUCCCAAAUAAUUAUCACGAUCUCCUUCUCUCCAUUCGUCAUUUCCUCAAAAAACAAUAUUCAAAUGACUACAACAUAGGCAAUUUUGGAAAAAACUAUACUUUUAUGUCAGGAUUACUAAAUUUUAUAAACUGAACCAAACAUAUUAAUGCUAUAAACACUGUAAUCUAGUAUUACAUUACUGUAUUAAACCAAACGCUCUAAUGCAGCAUUAGUAGUAAUCUCACGCCGAAAUCCAACAUAUCUGGAUAUGUCGAGAUACUUUGUAAUAUUACAUAACUCGAACCAAACGAGCCCAAAGAGAGUCCUUACAAAGAUCAUUAAUUA